UACGUAGGGGCUAGCGUUGUCCGGAUUUAUUGGGCGUAAAGAGCGUGUAGGCGGCCAGGUAGGUCUGCUGUGAAAACUCGAGGCUCAACCUCGAGACGUCGGUUGAAACCGUAAGGCUAGAGUCCGGAAGAGGAGAGUGGAAUUCCCGGUGUAGCGGUGAAAUGCGCAGAUAUCGGGAAGAACACCCGUGGCGAAGGCGGCUCUCUGGGACGGUACUGACGCUGAGACGCGAAAGCGUGGGGAGCGAACAGG
This 252-nucleotide ribosomal RNA is filed under the name uncultured bacterium. Its description in RNAcentral is "partial 16S ribosomal RNA". It matches the Rfam family "Bacterial small subunit ribosomal RNA", at positions 524 to 776 of the family's 1533-position model. The record is from RNAcentral.